UAUCUGGUUAAGAGACAAGAGUCAGAGCAGC
This 31-nucleotide non-coding RNA is filed under the name Rattus norvegicus (Norway rat). The record is from RNAcentral. Lineage: Eukaryota; Metazoa; Chordata; Mammalia; Rodentia; Muridae.